This 20-nucleotide non-coding RNA is filed under the name Arabidopsis thaliana (thale cress). Lineage: Eukaryota; Viridiplantae; Streptophyta; Magnoliopsida; Brassicales; Brassicaceae. The record is from RNAcentral.
CGAAAAAGAAGAAUUUGUGC